Hippocampus comes (tiger tail seahorse) is the source of this 1119-nucleotide long non-coding RNA. RefSeq lists it as uncharacterized. Lineage: Eukaryota; Metazoa; Chordata; Actinopteri; Syngnathiformes; Syngnathidae. The record is from RefSeq and is a predicted model, not a curated record. The transcript has 2 exons.
UAUAUAUCAGAAAAUAAAUAAGAAAAUCUCAUGUUAAAUUUUUUUUUAGUUUUUUUUUUCCAAGAAAAAAGUUGUCAUGCUGUGAGUAUAAAAGUCCAUAUGUACACUUGCAUAUUUGAAGUCAUUUUUGGGAGAAAACGUCGAAAUGUUAACCUGUAAUGUAAUUUUCAAGACCUAAAAAAAAAUAAUAAUAAUCAUGGGUAUGUUGUAUUAGUUGAUGAAAAAAAGUCUGAUUGGCACAAAAUCCUCCCAUGUGAACCGAAACAAAACAUCCUCCUAACAGUCAACUUUAUUUUCUUUAGGUUAUGACUUUAUGCUUGUACCGUUACAAAUUUGUUUGCCUAAUUCUCCAAAUGUGUUGUAUUGCAAUUUUUUUCUGGUUAAAAUACAACUUUAUGCUUGUAACAUUGACUUUGUUUUUUUAAUUAUUCAGUGUGGCCCUAAUAUUCCUUGACACACCCCCAGGGUAAAUUUUGAUGCAAAAGAAACUUGAAUUUGGUUUUGUUGGCACUUGAGAACACAACCGUACUGCAUGAAAUUGUCACUGCAAAAAAAAAAAAAAAAUACUGUUAAACUUACACAUCAACAAAUAGGUAUUUUUUUUUUCAAACAUGAAAAUAAUAUAUAAAACAAGGUCCAUGUGCAACUAAUCUAGCAGAGUAAAACUGUAACAGGGAAUGGAGCUACUGGAUAUUGGAUGAUUAAGUCUUGAAGGGGGCCAUGAGUGUCCACGGUUCAGUUUGGUUUGAGAUCAUCAGUGACUAUGAAAUCUCAAUGUGACGCCGUCGCCCGGCUGCUUCCAACAAGCCGCGUCUUUUCACGGUUUAAUUGGAAUUGAGAUGUCAGGAGGAGGUUAGCGGAUGUCUCCGCCUGCCCGUAUGGAGACAAUACGGUAUAACACUUGAGUGCAUGCAGAAGGUCACAUCCACGCAAAAGUGUGAUGAAACAUUUGGAAGGUAAGCGCCACGAGUCAAAAUAGAUGCACAUUUUUCAUGGUAACACCCAAACCCAACCGCACUUCUGCUUUUUGACACCCCUGACUUAUGUUAAACAAAACGUCCCAACUUCAGUGCCAUUGGGUUUAUACUAGAGCCAUGGAAUUUUCAAAUAAAUUGGACU